UACAGAGGUCCCAAGCGUUGUUCGGAUUCACUGGGCGUAAAGGGUGCGUAGGCGGUCGGGUAAGUCUGAUGUGAAAUCUCACAGCUUAACUGUGAAACUGCAUUGGAUACUAUCGGUCUUGAAUACUUUGGAGGUAAGCGGAAUAUGUCAUGUAGCGGUGAAAUGCUUAGAUAUGACAUAGAACACCAAUUGCGAAGGCAGCUUACUACACAGUGAUUGACACUGAGGCACGAAAGCGUGGGGAUCAAACAGG
This 253-nucleotide ribosomal RNA is filed under the name uncultured bacterium. RNAcentral describes it as "partial 16S ribosomal RNA". It matches the Rfam family "Bacterial small subunit ribosomal RNA", at positions 524 to 776 of the family's 1533-position model. The record is from RNAcentral.